AAGUCGUAACAAGGUUUCCGUAGGUGAACCUGCGGAAGGAUCAUUAACACGUGUCCCACGUAAUAAACCAAACCGUGAACUGUGAACGUAUAUCCGGAAGGAUGAGCCUGAUGGCGUCGGUAGUAAAGUCCAGGGCGGCCUACUUCGGUGGGUGUACUCUGGGGUCCGCACAUUAGGUCUGUCCAACCGUUAACCAAACCAUUAUUCAUUAUUAUUAUCGUCUUAAGAACUGUCGUGCUGACUGUAGAGGAUAGACGUAAGUCUUGAAUCGAACGGUCGGUAAUGAUGUCUUAUUACAAACUAUGUACAACUCUUAGCAACGGAUAUCUUGGUUUCC
RNAcentral lists this unclassified non-coding RNA (337 nucleotides) under fungal sp. Its description in RNAcentral is "partial internal transcribed spacer region". The stretch from base 1 to 46 matches the Rfam family "Eukaryotic small subunit ribosomal RNA", at positions 1786 to 1831 of the family's 1831-position model. The record is from RNAcentral. Lineage: Eukaryota; Fungi.